Molecule: ribosomal RNA, 429 nt
Filed under: Chloroflexota bacterium
Lineage: Bacteria; Bacillati; Chloroflexota
Description: Chloroflexi bacterium partial 16S ribosomal RNA
Rfam family: Bacterial small subunit ribosomal RNA
Source: RNAcentral
UGGGGAAUAUUGCACAAUGGGCGCAAGCCUUAUGCAGCCAUGCCGCGUGUAUGAAGAAGGCCUUCGGGUUGUAAAGUACUUUCAGCGGGGAGGAAGGGAGUAAAGUUAAUACCUUUGCUCAUUGACGUUACCCGCAGAAGAAGCACCGGCUAACUCCGUGCCAGCAGCCGCGGUAAUACGGAGGGUGCAAGCGUUAAUCGGAAUUACUGGGCGUAAAGCGCACGCAGGCGGUUUGUUAAGUCAGAUGUGAAAUCCCCGGGCUCAACCUGGGAACUGCAUCUGAUACUGGCAAGCUUGAGUGUCGUAGAGGGGGGUAGAAUUCCAGGUGUAGCGGUGAAAUGCGUAGAGAUCUGGAGGAAUACCGGUGGCGAAGGCGGCCCCCUGGACGAAGACUGACGCUCAGGUGCGAAAGCGUGGGGAGCAAACAGG